CGCACGGGUGAGUAACACGUGAAUGAUCUACCUCCGAGUGGGGAAUAACCUAGGGAAACCUGGGCUAAUACCGCAUAACACUUACGAGUCAAAGCAGCAAUGCGCUUGGAGAGGAGUUCGCGGCAGAUUAGCUAGUUGGUGGGGUAAUGGCCCACCAAGGCGAUGAUCUGUAUCCGGCCUGAGAGGGCGCACGGACACACUGGAACUGAAACACGGUCCAG
This 221-nucleotide ribosomal RNA is filed under the name uncultured bacterium. RNAcentral's name for it is "partial 16S ribosomal RNA". It matches the Rfam family "Bacterial small subunit ribosomal RNA", at positions 99 to 334 of the family's 1533-position model. The record is from RNAcentral.